GGGCCCGUAGUUCACCGGUAGAAUAAUUCCAUGGCAUGGAAUAGAAAAGGGUUCAAUUCCCUUCGGGUCCA
Non-coding RNA from Candidatus Collierbacteria bacterium, 71 nucleotides. NCBI's taxonomy places the organism in Bacteria, Candidatus Collieribacteriota. The record is from Rfam.